CCUACGGGUGGCAGCAGUGAGGAAUAUUGGUCAAUGGACGCAAGUCUGAACCAGCCAUGCCGCGUGCAGGAAGACGGCGCUAUGAGGGGUAAACAGCGUUUGUAGGAGGGUAAACGCAGAUACGCGUACCUGUCUGAAAGUAUCGUACGAACAAGGAUCGGCUAACUCCGUGCCAGCAGCCGCGGUAAUACGGAGGAUUCAAGCGUUAUCCGGAAUUGUUGGGUUUAAAGGGUGCGUAGGCGGUCGGUUAAGUUAGAUGUGAAAUCCCGAGGCUCAACUUCGGAAUUGCCUCUGGUACUGGUCGGCUAGAGGGUAGUUGCGGUAGGCGGAAUGUCUGGUGUAGCGGUGAAAUGCUUAGAGCUCAUGCAGAACACCGAUUGCGAAGGCAGCUUACCAAGCUACAUCUGACGUUGAGGCACGAAAGCGUGGGGAGCAAACAGGAUUAGAUACCCCAGUAGUC
Molecule: ribosomal RNA, 460 nt
Filed under: uncultured bacterium
Lineage: Bacteria
Description: partial 16S ribosomal RNA
Rfam family: Bacterial small subunit ribosomal RNA
Source: RNAcentral